Molecule: microRNA precursor, 145 nt
Organism: Equus caballus (horse)
Lineage: Eukaryota; Metazoa; Chordata; Mammalia; Perissodactyla; Equidae
Source: Ensembl
GGGCGGGUGUCUAGAGCCGAGUCAGGACCUUGUCCUUUGUUGUUUCCAAGAGUGUGGAGGAAGUAGGCUCUGCCCCCUCCUGCCCUUGGAUACAGUCGGAGACAAAGGGAGGCAGAGACAUAUCUACGAGGGCUGCCCCACACCA